UAGGGAAUCUUCCACAAUGGGCGAAAGCCUGAUGGAGCAACGCCGCGCGUGUGAUGAAGGGUUUCGGCUCGUAAAACACUGUUGUAAGAGAAGAAUGACAUUGAGAGUAACUGUUCAAUGUGUGACGGUAUCUUACCAGAAAGGAACGGCUAAAUACGUGCCAA
Molecule: ribosomal RNA, 164 nt
Filed under: uncultured bacterium
Lineage: Bacteria
Description: partial 16S rRNA
Rfam family: Bacterial small subunit ribosomal RNA
Source: RNAcentral